UGGGGAAUCUUGCACAAUGGGGGCAACCCUGAUGCAGCGACGCCGCGUGAGCGAUGAAGCCCUUCGGGGCGUAAAGCUCUUUCGACCGGAACGAUAAUGACGGUACCGGGGGAAGAAGCUGCGGCUAACUACGUGCCAGCAGCCGCGGUAAUACGUAGGCAGCAAGCGUUGUUCGGAGUUACUGGGCGUAAAGAGUGCGUAGGCGGUUUUCUAAGUUCGGUGUGAAAUCUCCCGGCUUAACUGGGAGGGUGCGCCAAAGACUGGGAAGCUGGAGUGUGGGAAAGGCAGGCGGAAUUCCUGGUGUAGCGGUGAAAUGCGUAGAUAUCAGGAGGAACACCGGCGGUGUAGACGGCUUGCUAGACCAUAACUGACGCUGAGGCACGAAAGCGUGGGUAGCAAACA
RNAcentral lists this ribosomal RNA (402 nucleotides) under uncultured bacterium. Its description in RNAcentral is "bacterial SSU rRNA". It matches the Rfam family "Bacterial small subunit ribosomal RNA", at positions 355 to 774 of the family's 1533-position model. The record is from RNAcentral.